CCCUUAGAUGUUCUGGGCCGCACGCGCGCUACACUGUUCGACGCAGCGAGUCUUAACCUUGACCGAAAGGUUUGGGUAAUCUUCAGCAAAGUCGAACGUGAUGGGGAUCGAUCAUUGCAAUUAUUGAUCGUGAACGAGGAAUUCCUAGUAAGUGCAAGUCAUCAGCUUGCGCUGAUUACGUCCCUGCCCUUUGUACACACCGCCCGUCGCUACUACCGAUUGAAUGGUUUAGUGAGAUCUCUGGAUUGACGCUGGCUAGGGGGCGACCCUUGGCCAGGCUGUCGAGAAACUGCUCAAACUUGAUCAUUUAGAGGAAGUAAAAGUCGCAACA
This 331-nucleotide ribosomal RNA is filed under the name uncultured eukaryote. RNAcentral's name for it is "partial 18S ribosomal RNA". It matches the Rfam family "Eukaryotic small subunit ribosomal RNA", at positions 1470 to 1796 of the family's 1831-position model. The record is from RNAcentral.